This 370-nucleotide long non-coding RNA is filed under the name Mytilus galloprovincialis (Mediterranean mussel). The record is from RNAcentral. Lineage: Eukaryota; Metazoa; Mollusca; Bivalvia; Mytilida; Mytilidae.
AACAUGAUUGAUUGAUUGAUUGUUGGUUGCUUAACGUCCAGUGGCAAAUAUUUCAUGCAUAUUCAGGACGAGAACAAGUUCACAAUAAAUACAAUAGGUAGGUUGUUGUAAUAGAGGCCAUCUAGGAUGAUGGUCGGGGAAAUUUGGACUGCCACUGGAAAAUGAGGGUAUAUUGGAUAGGGACAGAAAUUUUGCCUUGCAACAGGCCACCUACGGACCCCUCAAAGAGUUGUUGCAAGGGUUCUUAACGUGCAAAGAGCGUGGCACUUUCUUUACACGAGGCAUCGGAUUUAACGUCCCCUUCUGACGGACGUGACUGCGAACUUGAUACAUCCCGCACAGCCAAACGGACGCCCCACUUCGGCAAGCG